RNAcentral lists this ribosomal RNA (253 nucleotides) under uncultured bacterium. RNAcentral describes it as "partial 16S ribosomal RNA". It matches the Rfam family "Bacterial small subunit ribosomal RNA", at positions 524 to 776 of the family's 1533-position model. The record is from RNAcentral.
UACGUAGGGUCCGAGCGUUGUCCGGAAUUACUGGGCGUAAAGCGCUCGUAGGUGGUUUGUCGCGUUGUUCGUGAAAACUCACAGCUCAACUGUAGGCGUGCGGGCGAUACGGGCAGACUAGAGUACUGCAGGGGAGACUGGAAUUCCUGGUGUAGCGGUGGAAUGCGCAGAUAUCAGGAGGAACACCGGUGGCGAAGGCGGGUCGCUGGGCAGUAACUGACGCUGAGGAGCGAAAGCGUGGGGAGCGAACAGG